Long non-coding RNA from Solea solea (common sole), 352 nucleotides. RefSeq lists it as uncharacterized. NCBI's taxonomy places the organism in Eukaryota, Metazoa, Chordata, Actinopteri, Pleuronectiformes, Soleidae. The transcript has 3 exons. The record is from RefSeq and is a predicted model, not a curated record.
AAGAGGCAAGUGUGUUGUUUGUUUGUGUGCCAGUGGAACUCCUCACUCAGUGGAAACACAGUGCUGGAACACGUGUGUGGAGAUAGUGCUACGGCCCGGUGGUGACUCUUCAUUUAAAUGUCCCAGUCCUCAAAGACACACAUUACAACAUGAAAGAAGUAUUUCUCUCCACAAACAAAAGCCGUCUCCAUGUCUCAGCGAUGAAACACAAGGUCAAGUCAUAAUUGGCUUUGGCAAAAACACUGAAAGUAAGUACUUAGAUAAAGACAUGUUGACAAAAAUAAACAGUGUGUUAAGUGAGUGGAUUUAUUCAUUAUUGUUUUGCAAUUGUCUUCCUCUCCAGGCUCCACCA